RNAcentral lists this long non-coding RNA (1541 nucleotides) under Oncorhynchus kisutch (coho salmon). RNAcentral's name for it is "lncRNA (ENSOKIG00005048328.1)". The record is from RNAcentral. Lineage: Eukaryota; Metazoa; Chordata; Actinopteri; Salmoniformes; Salmonidae.
CCUUGUAGCCAACGUCGGGUUUUCGAGACUAACGUAAGACGUCCGUCGGCUUUGGGCCCGAAGAGAACCAAAGGAAUGAGGGGAAUAAAGUGCUUGAAUUGUAAUGUUUAAUUGAUAAAACGUUGUCUGAAGACAUGGAUGACGUGGUCAAAAAUAAGCUUAAGAGCAAUGCCAAGAUUUACAGUAACACUUUGGAGCGAAUAACGUUAACCGUGCUAGCCAGAUGCCUGCUAGCAUUGUAACUAGCUAGCUAGCUAGUGUUCUUCUGACGAUGUGGUUAGAUAAUCAAACAUAUUAGCAAAGACACCCUAUUGAUGUUCUCUAACCCAGCUAGCGUUAGCUAACAAGUAGUAGUAGUAGCACAGAGCAGAGGCAAAUUUUUGAAAUCGUAUUAUUGUAACUAGCUAGUAGUCUCUCUCGCCAACUAGCCUUCUUUUACUGUCCCUCUUGAGGCCACGGGGCGAAAUGCACAAGCAAGCACCCCCCCAUCAAAUCAAAUGUUAUUUGUCACAUACACGUAUUUAGUAGAUGUUAUUGCGGGUGUAGCGAAAUGCUUGUAAGCAAUGUCACUCUACUACUAGGCCUGUAACAGAUGAAACCUCAGAUUGUGCCAGUAUUUACAAUUUUCUUUGACAACAGUAUUCAAAGCUGCAUGACAAUGGGACUGAGGUGAACCUGGAGGACAUAACACCCCAAGGUAAACAACAGUCCGUUUAUGGUUACACUAGUUAGCUAAGAAUUCUUAAACUCCAGUGUCCAUGUUCCUUAUCUAUGGUUACACAUAUUAUCUGCUUCUCAGUACUUUAAUAAUUGUUUAGCCUUGUCAACAACGACAGUAGCUAGUUUUAUAUUAAUGGGUACAAAUUCUGCACACAACCGAGUUGGCUCAAUGUUCUGAUGUUUAUUGUAUUUCCAUGUGUCUUGUCAUUGGAUGGAGAAGAGGUGAGAGUAUGCAUGGUCAAGUCAGAGUUGGAACUAUCAAAGCUGGGAUUGUCAAAGGCCACAGAACAUCAUUAGAGACUUCAAGAUGGACAUCUCAUACCACCAGGAUGAUCCCAACGAUGAUUGUGUAGAUGAGGGUGCUGGCCCUGUCAACAGUAAUGAUUCUGUUAUGCUGCAGAGAUCAGCCACUGUAAGUAAAUUAUUUGAACAUUAACCCUAGUGACAUAUAGACACUACCGUUCAAAAGUUUGGGGUCACUUAAAAAUGUCCUUGUUUUUGAAAGAAAAGCAAAAAUGUUGUCCUUUAAAAUAACAUCAAAUUGAUCAGAAAUAAAGUGUAGACCUUGUUAAUGUUGCAAAUUACUAUUGUAGCUGGAAAUGGCUCAUUUUUUAUGGAAUGUCUACAUAGGUGUACAGAGGCCCAUUAUCAGCAACCAUCACCCCUGUGUCCCAAUGGCAUGUUGUGUUAGCUAAUCCAAGUUUAUCAUUUUAAAAAGCUAAUUGGUCAUAAGAAAACCCCUUUGCAAUUGUUAGCACAUCUGAAAACUGUUGUUCUGAUUUAAAGAAUCAAUUAAACUGGCCUUUUAUACUAGUUGAGUA